CCCGCCCCGCCGGGCUCAGCCCCUCUCGGGCUGUCACUGCCGGCCUGUCCCGGGGAGGCUCAGGGCGAUCGCGGGAUGCGGCGCUGAGCGCGCUCCGGUCGCUCUCUCCGUCCGUCCGUCCGUCUGUCUGUCUGUCGGUCUCCCCGCCCGGGCUCCCGCACGCCGAGAUUCCCUCCCGCAGCCCAUGAUGUGCCUGGAAAGCGACGGCUCCUCCGGCAGCAGCCCGGUCUGCGGCGGGCGGCUCCGAUCUGGCGACGAGGAGGAGGAGGAGGACGGCGAGCGGGGCUGCUGCGGCCGGGGUGCCGAGGGCGAGGUGCAGACCCUGUCGGGCAGGAUGAACCCCCCGGCGGCCGGCAAGCACCUCGACCGCCCCGCCGCCCUCCGCAAGGCGCCGACCCUCGGCCGGGCCCGGGUAGCGGCCGCCGGCAUCCUCAGCGUGGGCAACGUGCUCAACUACCUGGACCGGUACACCGUGGCAGGUGUGUUACUGGACAUCCAGCAGCACUUUGGAGUCAAAGACAGCGGGGCUGGCUUGCUGCAGACAGUUUUUAUCUGUAGUUUCAUGGUGGCGGCGCCGAUCUUUGGUUACCUUGGUGACCGCUUCAACAGGAAGAUCAUUCUCAGCUGUGGCAUCUUCUUUUGGUCAGCUGUCACUUUUUCCAGCUCCUUCAUCACUGAACAGUAUUUCUGGCUCUUUGUGCUGUCCCGGGGUUUGGUUGGCAUUGGUGAAGCGAGUUACUCCACUAUUGCACCAACCAUCAUUGGAGACCUGUUCACCAAAAACACAAGGACCCUGAUGCUCUCAGUUUUUUACUUUGCAAUUCCUCUGGGCAGUGGCCUGGGGUACAUCACUGGCUCCAGUGUGAAGCAGGUUGCUGGAGACUGGCACUGGGCACUGCGGGUAUCUCCACUCCUGGGAAUGAUAACAGGGACACUCAUCUUGAUAUUUGUGCCUGCUGCUAAAAGAGGAAAUGCUGAACAGCUUGGGGGGCAGCUGAAGGCUCGGACUUCAUGGCUGAGAGACAUGAAAGCCUUGAUUAGAAACCGCAGCUAUGUGUUCUCAUCCCUGGCCACCUCAGCUGUCUCCUUUGCCACGGGGGCACUUGGGAUGUGGAUCCCUCUGUACCUUCACAGAGCACAGGUGGUGCAGAAGACAGCAGAGACCUGCAGCUCCCAGCCCUGUGGCACCAAGGAUAGUUUGAUCUUUGGAGCAAUCACAUGCUUCACUGGCUUCCUGGGUGUAAUCACAGGGGCAGGAGCCACCAAAUGGUGCAGGUCCAAGACCCAGCGAGCUGAUCCUCUUGUCUGUGCUGUUGGAAUGCUGGGAUCAGCCAUCUUCAUCUGUCUGAUCUUCGUGGCAGCCAAGAGCAGCAUCGUGGGAGCCUAUAUUUGCAUUUUUAUCGGAGAAACUCUUCUGUUCUCAAACUGGGCUAUCACAGCAGACAUACUAAUGUACGUGGUCAUUCCAACUCGCCGAGCAACCGCAGUGGCCUUGCAGAGUUUCACUUCACACCUCCUGGGAGAUGCUGGCAGUCCUUAUCUCAUUGGAUUUAUCUCCGACCUGAUACGACAAAGCACAAAGGAGUCCCCAGUGUGGGAGUUCCUCAGCCUGGGUUAUGCUCUCAUGCUCUGCCCCUUCGUGGUUGUCCUGGGAGGGAUGUUCUUCCUGGCCACAGCCCUCUUCUUCCUCAGUGACCGAGCCAAAGCUGAGCAACAUAAAGAAACCGAUUCGGAUCAUCUCACGGUUGGCAACUACAGUAAUUCAGAAGACGCUUCCACAUGACAUACAAACUUCUGGGGGUGAAUCAGCUUGUGAUGCCACCAGCCUCUGUGAAAGUCUGAGACGCUGCCAGUGAAGGCCAGGACACGUGGACUCCUGCUCCCACCACACCAAUCCCAACCUGGAACCCUCCUGUGCUGGGUGUCAGUGGAUCCUUCAGCUCCACAUCACAGAGGGGGUCUCCAUCUCUCCAUCCCUCUCUCCAGCCUGCAGGGUCAGGCACCAGGAGAUGAGCAGGGCAGCCGGGAACGUGGAAACUUCUGGAACACAAGGACAUUCAGGGGUCCCCUGAGCAUGGACACCAACUGUCCACUGGACCCAGAAAAAGCUGCCCAAGUGAGCAACUGUAGAUUGUGUAAAUGGUUUUAGUUGUAGCCAAUGAAGUCCACAUUGUUUGUGGGGCAGCUGGUGUCCUAUGGAAUGCUGCUGCUCUGCCAGCACUCCCACUCCCACAGACUGCACUAGUUGAGGACCUGUUCUGUACAUCACCUUUUCUUUGACACUGAAGGCUUGAUUCAGAUUAUUAUUUUUUAUUUAAAUAUAAGAUGCUUUAUAUCUGCUGGAGACAUUAGAUGAGAUAUAUAUAUAUAUAUAUAUACUUAGAUAAAUUUUUUAUUUAAACAUUUGAAAUCUGGAGCUGCCUGUGCAACCAUAGCAGACAUGAAUAACGUCCACAGCUCUCCUCCUCUCAGUGCCCAGGUGCCAGGGCCUGCAAGGGCACCACAGGAAAACUUCCAGUGGCUGCCCCACCUGUCACUGAGACUGAGCAAUGGGACAGAGGAGAGAGUUUCACUGCACUGGGUGUGCUGGUGGUUGUCACAGAAAGGCCCAGAAGAACGUUGGACAGAAAUCCCUACAGGCUCUAGAGUUUUCCAUAUGCUAAAUUCAGCCUUCCUAGGAGGUUCACAGGCUUUUAAAAUACCAAAAUCCAGCUGGCUGAAUGGCUGCACCUUGGGCCUGGGAGUGCAAUACUGCUGUGCCAGUGACCUCGUGCUUUGUUUACAUGAUACCAUAUCAGACUGUCAAUGCUAAUUCUCCCUGCCAAUAUCCCAGAGCAGGAGGCUGGCACUGCCUUCAGAGCAGUGCUUGGUUCCUGCCCACCCAGCCUGAGCUGGCACUGGGGUGUGCCUGUACCUGUACCUGUACCUGUACCUGUACCUGUACCUGCACCUGUACCUGUACCUGUACCUGUACCUGCACCUGUACCUGUAGCUGUACCUGUACCUGUACCUGUACCUGUGCAGAGGUGCCUUUGAGAGCUGUCAGACAAGGCCAGAGCUGAACUGGGUUGGGCUCUAACGCAGGAGCUGUCGUGGUGCCAUCCCAUGGAGCCUUGAGCCAAAGCUGUGCUGUGUCAGCUGGGUGGGGAGCAAGGGGGGCACAGGUCCUGGAGAGGGCCAGGCUGCCACAGGAAGGGCACUUGGGGUCCAGGGAGGAAUAAAUGAGCUCAGGAAGUGUCAGAGCAGAACCAGAUGUGAGUUAGGGCUGGAGCUGCCGUCCUGGCUGUGCCAUAAGGCCUCUCAGGCACAGCAGGGUGCUGUUAGCAAACCUGGGUUUGUCUCCCUUUCCCUGCCAGGAUGUGCUGGGAGCUGCAGCACAGCUCUGCAGCAGAGAUGGUUCCAGAGCCAGGGGCUCACCCCAUGGCAAAUCCCUGCCAGGCUGGGGAUUCCUGUGAUCCCCUGAGCCCUCCCUCCUCCCAGAGCUCAAGGACUCCUCUGCAAGGGUUCUGUCACCUGCAAUUCCUGAACAAGAGCUCCAGGAGUUGGCUAAAGAACCAGAGCCAGAAGUGUUCCUCUAGUGCCUGAGCAAGCAGGUGCUAGAAACAACAAAGCAAAGCAAAUCCCAACAAUGCUUCACUUCCUACCUCGUGCCACUAUUUACACUCAGAGGGGAAACACAGCAGCUCUAGUCUGGGAGCCAAACACUUGGCUUUAAAGGCACAUGAAUUUCUGAUUCCCAUUAAGAAAUUCCUUUUUAAGCUGUUUAAAAGGAAACAAAAAGCAACCCAACAAUCAGUCAUUUCAUCUCAGAGACCAAAGAAGAUUAACCACAUUUUCUAAAUUGCUUUUCUGAUAGGCUCUCUGUUGUGUAGCAUUUAUUGUCAACAAAAUGGAACAUUUCUGCUAAGGUUCAGAGAUUAGGAAUUCUCCUUAAACUUAAUUCUCAGGAGUCAGCAAUGAAAAGGGAACUGAAGUGUUCUGUAAUGUCACUGGCAAUCCUUGUUUGUGACAGGCUCCAGUCCCUGCUGCUUUUAUCCUUUGUGCACAUGAAGGAAAUGCUGUGGAUUCUGUUUAAACAAGGACAGAGGGAAGGGAGCAAACAAAGGAGUGAGAAUGAGUCCUGCCUUCACCAAGGGAUCCCUGAAUCCCUGCUCCCACAUGUUCCAGGCUGAGACAGGGAGGCUCAGGCUCUUCAGGUCCUUGCUGCAUUCAGCAGGGCCUGUGCAGUGUCCAGGGGCACCAGGGAGGCUCCAGCUCCCCUCAGUUAAUCACCAGGGUUUUCUCCUACCCCACUCCAUAAAGGGGAUUUGUUUAAAGCAUGAACCCCCCCAGCUGAUCCUGCACUGGCACUUGGGUGGAUUGUACAGGGUGGCACACUGAGGCAGUGGCACCUGCCCAGAGAAGCAAGAGAAUGACCCAGAAGUGCCACCCCAAGGGGCUCCUGCUGCCACCACCCCAGAGCAGGUCUGGGUGGCCCCAGGAGCCUCUCCCCUUACAGUCAGGGUGACUGAACCCCAAAAAUGUCCCCAAAAAUGUCUGGCUGUGCUCUGGGAAGCAGAGUUCUCCCAAGCUCCACCCCAGAUGCUUCUUCUCUUCUCCAUUGGCUUUAUUGUCUGGCAAACCAGCACUUACAAUCACUUUUACUACGUGAUGUAUGGGAGUAUUAGUGUAUUUUCUUGUUAUACAAGGGAGGAGUAUAAAAUAGUUUUCUGAUUUCUUUCAGAAGCAAAUGACUAUUUUAUUUUUUAAGAGCAAUUGAUUGUGAAUCUCAGAGUAUAAAAAAAAAAGAUAAGCCAAAUAUAUACCUUUAUGUAAAUUAAGAAAUAAAAGUAUUUAAAAUG
This is an RNA transcript of Zonotrichia albicollis (white-throated sparrow), 4841 nucleotides long. It is a transcript of the gene named sphingosine-1-phosphate transporter SPNS2, with no coding region annotated. Lineage: Eukaryota; Metazoa; Chordata; Aves; Passeriformes; Passerellidae. The record is from RefSeq and is a predicted model, not a curated record.